This 1338-nucleotide ribosomal RNA is filed under the name uncultured bacterium. Its description in RNAcentral is "bacterial SSU rRNA". It matches the Rfam family "Bacterial small subunit ribosomal RNA", at positions 28 to 1381 of the family's 1533-position model. The record is from RNAcentral.
GAUGAACGCUAGCUACAGGCUUAACACAUGCAAGUCGAGGGGCAGCAUUUUAGUUUGCUUGCAAACUGAAGAUGGCGACCGGCGCACGGGUGAGUAACACGUGAGUAACCUGCCCCCGAGAGCGGGAUAGCCCUGGGAAACUGGGAUUAAUACCGCAUAGUAUCGAAAGAUUAAAGCAGCAAUGCGCUUGGGGAUGGGCUCGCGGCCUAUUAGUUAGUUGGUGAGGUAACGGCUCACCAAGGCGAUGACGGGUAGCCGGUCUGAGAGGAUGUCCGGCCACACUGGAACUGAGACACGGUCCAGACACCUACGGGUGGCAGCAGUCGAGAAUCAUUCACAAUGGGGGAAACCCUGAUGGUGUGACGCCGCGUGGGGGAAUGAAGGUCUUCGGAUUGUAAACCCCUGUCAUGUGGGAGCAAAUUAAAAAGAUAGUACCACAAGAGGAAGAGACGGCUAACUCUGUGCCAGCAGCCGCGGUAAUACAGAGGUCUCAAGCGUUGUUCGGAAUCACUGGGCGUAAAGCGUGCGUAGGCUGUUUCGUAAGUCGUGUGUGAAAGGCGCGGGCUCAACCCGCGGACGGCACAUGAUACUGCGAGACUAGAGUAAUGGAGGAGGAACCGGAAUUCUCGGUGUAGCAGUGAAAUGCGUAGAUAUCGAGAGGAACACUCGUGGCGAAGGCGGGUUCCUGGACAUUAACUGACGCUGAGGCACGAAGGCCAGGGGAGCGAAAGGGAUUAGAUACCCCUGUAGUCCUGGCAGUAAACGGUGCACGCUUGGUGUGCGGGGAAUCGACCCCCUGCGUGCCGGAGCUAACGCGUUAAGCGUGCCGCCUGGGGAGUACGGUCGCAAGAUUAAAACUCAAAGAAAUUGACGGGGACCCGCACAAGCGGUGGAGUAUGUGGCUUAAUUCGAUGCAACGCGAAGAACCUUACCUGGGCUUGACAUGUAAUGAACAACAUGUGAAAGCAUGCGACUCUUCGGAGGCGUUACACAGGUGCUGCAUGGCCGUCGUCAGCUCGUGUCGUGAGAUGUUUGGUUAAGUCCAGCAACGAGCGCAACCCCUGUUGCCAGUUACCAGCACGUGAAGGUGGGGACUCUGGCGAGACUGCCCAGAUCAACUGGGAGGAAGAUGGGGACGACGUCAGGUCAGUAUGGCCCUUAUGCCCAGGGCUGCACACGUACUACAAUGCCCAGUACAGAGGGGGCCGAAGCCGCGAGGCGGAGGAAAUCCUGAAAACUGGGCCCAGUUCGGACUGUAGGCUGCAACCCGCCUACACGAAGCCGGAAUCGCUAGUAAUGGCGCAUCAGCUACGGCGCCGUGAAUACGUUCCCGGGUCU